GGAUGGCGGCGGGACAGGCGGGGCCGGUGGGGCUCGGGGCUGGAGCGACUGGAGGCGAGCAGGUAGGUCCCCAGGUGAACGUACCCUAGCGAACGCCUCGGCGAGAUGGAAGAGAGUGGGCGGCGGGCUCUUCUGGAAGUGUGGGGAAACUUUGGAAGUUUGGAGAGCUUUCUGUGUUCUCAGCGCUCAAACUAGCGUUUCACGCAAGGGACCCGGUGCGACUCCGGUUGGGGGAUGAUUCACCUCUUAAAACUGACUCAAAUUUCAGUUUUUAAAAACGUCUUGAGUUUUGAAGUUUGAAUGAUUUUUCAAAAUUUAACUUCGAGUUCUGAGUGUUUUUAAGUUUUGAAAAUGUAGCUUAACUUUGCAAAUACACGUUUUGGAAAUUUAGAUUUUAAAGAUUUCAGUUGUGACCUCAGUUUAAAACGUUUUGUUUACUUUAAAAUAUUAGUUUUCAAUUUGAUUUUGUAAAUGUCCAUAAAAUUUUAAUGAGCAGCAGUUAUUUCUCUUGUUUUCACAACGUUAUUGGGCGCCUGUCGUACAUUUGUAUUGACACGUGAUGCAUAUGGAUAUUAUAAACACCUGUUGUCAUGUGUACGCGCGGCCCCGACCGAGGCGACCCCGGGGCGGCGCGCUUCACUCUGCUCUCCCGGGACGUGAGUCGGCUGCGGGCGGCGCGGGGCCGCGGGGCCGGCGGUCCUUGCACCCCAGCUGAGGCCUCUCUCCUGCGGGUGGUGGUGCGGGCGCGGCCCGGCAGGGGGCGCCGUCCGCAAGCUCUUGGCACCGCGAUUUCUCCCACGCGCACCUGCUGCUGGGCGGACUGCAAAGACGAGCCGCCAGGAACGCGGACCACCGUGCAGCCGGCUUUCUGGAAGAGGCCCCGGACGAGUUCUUACAAGUUCAUCUGUGAGCACAAACGAGAACGUGCCCAACUCUUCAAGUUUUCUUACCUGCACUAAGGGUCCACGCAUGCGGCAUCAAUGACAACUUGUCAAAAGCUUAAGUCCUUCGAGCCGGAUUCGAACCAGCGACCUAAGGAUGACCACAACCGAACAUCUACAGUCCUCCGCUCUACCAACUGAGCUAUCGAAGGAUUGGUGGUAUGGUUUGUCAGAAUACCUUGAAUAAGGUGUAGCCCAGUGGUUUUAACCACCUUUUUAAAACAGGCAAACAUGAUUUUUUCUAGGGUGCUACAAAUGUUCUAAAACUGAUAGGGGUGGUGAUGAUAGAGAUAUAUUAAAAAAUUAAUACCCUUGAACACUUAAGCUUUGUGCUUUUUGCUGUCUUUUUUUUUUUUUUUAAGAUUUUUUAUUUAUUUAUCUGAGAGAGAGAGCACAAGCAGAGGGGCCAAAGGAGAAGCAGACUCCAGGCUCAGCAGGGAGCCUGAUGCGGGGCUCCAUCCAAGGACCCUGAGCUGAAGGCAGAUGCUUAACCAACUGAGCCACCCAGGCACCCCUGUUUUAGGUCAUUAAUAAAAGAAAACAACAUGACCCA
RNAcentral lists this long non-coding RNA (1494 nucleotides) under Ursus maritimus (polar bear). Its description in RNAcentral is "lncRNA (ENSUMAG00000000256.1)". The record is from RNAcentral. Lineage: Eukaryota; Metazoa; Chordata; Mammalia; Carnivora; Ursidae.